GCAGAGUAGGCUGUAAAGCGACAGUGACAAAAGGACGGGAAGUUGCCUUUUGUACGAAUUGAUAAUCGGGCAAAAAAGUUUAUCAGCGAUUUUACCGCCGCAUUCCGCUGC
Molecule: non-coding RNA, 111 nt
Filed under: bovine gut metagenome
Description: THF riboswitch
Rfam family: THF (Tetrahydrofolate) riboswitch aptamer
About the family: THF riboswitch presents a pseudoknot that joins P1-P2 and the loop of P3 and two THF binding.
Source: RNAcentral